Pezoporus occidentalis (night parrot) is the source of this 1044-nucleotide long non-coding RNA. RefSeq lists it as uncharacterized. The record is from RefSeq and is a predicted model, not a curated record. The transcript has 3 exons. NCBI's taxonomy places the organism in Eukaryota, Metazoa, Chordata, Aves, Psittaciformes, Psittacidae.
GGAGGGAGACUCCUGAGGGGAAACGGCUGAGGCCACAGCCCUUCUCCCUGUGUGUCCAUAGCCACCUGUCUGUGGCCUCCGGUGCUCACAGUCCUCUGUCAAAACCUCUCUCCGUUCAAACACUAUCCCUGCCCCCCCCCGCCGCCACCAGCGUCCCCACAAAAUAAAGCAAGGGAAGGAGGCUGCUGGUGGCGGUGGUGAGGCUGUUUCUGGGGGCUAUGUAGCCUGCAGCCCCUCGUACGGGGGGUGCCGGGUCUGUGGCAGCCCCCAACAACUUGAACGAACCCAUGGGGUACACUCCUGCGACUAACGGGAGGGACUGCAAGGCCGACAGCUCUACACGCAGUGCCAAGCAUCAUCAGGGGACAUAUCAAUUCAUAGCAGCUCAUUAGUGGCAAUGGCAAUGUGAGGCCACGAGGCUUUUUCCAGAUUUCCAAUUUGAAUGCACCCAGCAGCCUAAAGGAGGAGGAAAAAACACAUGCAGCAAGGAGACUUGCAAACAGCCCCAGAGGAAGGUGGAGGCAGAGGAGAAUCUUUUGAUUCCUAGCAUAGUGCUUUGUCCUAUCCAGGACUGUGUAGCCAGUUUGUACUGCCCAAUAUUGAAGUACGUUGUGAGAAAUUAUUUCAUUUCCUGACUCUGCAAGUGUAACAGAGGGCUGCUGGCAGUGGUGAAUUAGAAGUGAAAUUAAAACUUUCCAGCUCAACAAACACUGUGAAAUAUUUUUUUCCAUGCUUGAAUGGCUGUCCAGUUUUAUUGUUUAUUACUUAUUAUUAUCUUAGAAAAUAAUGGAGUCUCAAUAAAAAUUAAAUACUUUGAUCUUUCUUCCCUUUGGCUUUGAGAAUUUCAGAAAUUGUCUUCUGAUUCAAAAUGAAGCCACACUUGAAGAUAUCAGGCUCUGCAUUGAGCUGGAAGAUGCAGCCCCAGCAGCCCCGUUUUGCAGUUCAAAUUCAGUGCACUGAGUGGCUUUGCCUGGGAUCUACUCCAUAGCUCAAGCACAAAUAAGAGAAGGUGCCUUCAAUCUUGCACUCACAGUGCAAGUCUGA